Rosa chinensis is the source of this 651-nucleotide long non-coding RNA. RefSeq lists it as uncharacterized. The record is from RefSeq and is a predicted model, not a curated record. The transcript is spliced from 3 exons. Lineage: Eukaryota; Viridiplantae; Streptophyta; Magnoliopsida; Rosales; Rosaceae.
AUGUUAAGAAGGCAAAAAUUGACCAAGAAUAGUGAGAGCUCAAGAACUGAAGAAAGUCGAGUGUGAAGCAAACCGAAAACAAAAUCCACCCAUCUUUCUUCAACAAUUAAAGAAAGUACGUUCAGGGUUGGACUCAGGAAAAAUGUUGCCUUUAAUAGAGCUUUGGUUUCUCCAAUCUGCUUCAAGAUGGGAUAUUCAUCCCAGAGUGCAAGACUUGAAGGCAAGGUGGCACUAAUUACUGGAGCAGCAAGCGGCCUAGGAAAGGCAACUGCAUCAAAAUUCAUCAGCAAUGGUGCCAAGGUUGUUCUUGCAGAUAUCGAACACCAGCUUGGGCAAGACGCGGCAAAGGAGAUUGGUCCUAAUGCCAGCUUCAUUGCCUGUGAUGUCACAAAAGAAUCCGACAUUUCCAAUGCUGUGAUUUCACCAUCUCUAAGCACAGCCAGCUUGAUAUUAUGUACGGAAAUGCAGGUGUAGCUUGUAACUCUCCUCCAAGCAUUGUGGACCUUGACCUGGCAGUGUUUGAUCGGGUCAUGAACAUCAAUGUCUGAGGAGUACUGGCAGGAAUUAAGCACACUUCGCAUGUGAUGAUCCCUCGCAAAACUGGCUCAAUUCUCUGCACACCCAGCAUCGCAAGACUAAUGGGAGGAGUAG